RNAcentral lists this transfer RNA (72 nucleotides) under Marmota marmota marmota (Alpine marmot). It matches the Rfam family "tRNA". Rfam says of the family: Transfer RNA (tRNA) molecules are approximately 80 nucleotides in length. Their secondary structure includes four short double-helical elements and three loops (D, anti-codon, and T loops). Lineage: Eukaryota; Metazoa; Chordata; Mammalia; Rodentia; Sciuridae. RNAcentral also lists the same sequence under 4 other names. The record is from Rfam by way of RNAcentral.
GGGGUUGUGGCUCAGUGGUAGAGUGUGUGCUUAACAGGCAUGAAGCCCUGGGUUUAAUCCCCAGCACCACCA